Molecule: transfer RNA, 71 nt
Filed under: Statilia maculata
Lineage: Eukaryota; Metazoa; Arthropoda; Insecta; Mantodea; Mantidae
Description: tRNA-Gln
Source: RNAcentral
UACAUUUUGGUGUAAGGUGCACAAAAAUUUUUGAUAUUUUAGGAUUACAGUUUAAUUCUGUUAAAUGUAAA